UUGGUUAGUUUAGCUAAUAACAGUAGGUUAUUAGUAGAAUAAAUGGUUAAGAAUUCAAAGGAUCAUAACCUUUGGAAUCCAUUAGCUGAUGGAUCAUCUUUUUGGUAGGAUAAAUAGGUUGAGGAAAGAGAGAUCGAGAGCCAAAUUGAGAGUCGUAAGCCGAGAGCCAGACUGAGAGUUGUAAGCUGGGGUAAGCUUGGUGCUACCUCUUUGUUUUUUUUAUUAUUUGCUUAUGAAGAAUGGUGAUUGAGAGAAGUAUUGUUGAAUUGAUAAUCGUAGAAUGGAUUAUGGGUUGAAUUAAGAUGGAAGUAGU
RNAcentral lists this long non-coding RNA (313 nucleotides) under Physcomitrium patens. Its description in RNAcentral is "long non-coding RNA (PPAT_LNC008839)". Lineage: Eukaryota; Viridiplantae; Streptophyta; Bryopsida; Funariales; Funariaceae. The record is from RNAcentral.